UAGGGAAUCUUCCGCAAUGGACGAAAGUCUGACGGAGCAACGCCGCGUGAGUGAAGAAGGUUUUCGGAUCGUAAAGCUCUGUUGUUAGGGAAGAACAAGUAUCGUUCGAAUAGGGCGGUACCUUGACGGUACCUAACCAGAAAGCCACGGCUAACUACGUGCCAGCAGCCGCGGUAAUACGUAGGUGGCAAGCGUUGUCCGGAAUUAUUGGGCGUAAAGCGCGCGCAGGCGGUUCCUUAAGUCUGAUGUGAAAGCCCACGGCUCAACCGUGGAGGGUCAUUGGAAACUGGGGAACUUGAGUGCAGAAGAGGAGAGUGGAAUUCCACGUGUAGCGGUGAAAUGCGUAGAGAUGUGGAGGAACACCAGUGGCGAAGGCGACUCUCUGGUCUGUAACUGACGCUGAGGCGCGAAAGCGUGGGGAGCGAACAGGAUUAGAUACCCCCGUAGUCC
This 450-nucleotide ribosomal RNA is filed under the name uncultured prokaryote. RNAcentral's name for it is "bacterial SSU rRNA". It matches the Rfam family "Bacterial small subunit ribosomal RNA", at positions 355 to 796 of the family's 1533-position model. The record is from RNAcentral.